RNAcentral lists this ribosomal RNA (596 nucleotides) under uncultured bacterium. RNAcentral's name for it is "bacterial SSU rRNA". It matches the Rfam family "Bacterial small subunit ribosomal RNA", at positions 331 to 929 of the family's 1533-position model. The record is from RNAcentral.
CCAGACUCCUACGGGAGGCAGCAGUGAGGAAUAUUGGACAAUGGUCGGAAGACUGAUCCAGCCAUGCCGCGUGCAGGAUGAAGGUCCUAUGGAUUGUAAACUGCUUUUGUAAGGGAAGAAUAAGGGGUACGUGUACUUUGAUGACGGUACCUUACGAAUAAGCAUCGGCUAACUCCGUGCCAGCAGCCGCGGUAAUACGGAGGAUGCGAGCGUUAUCCGGAAUCAUUGGGUUUAAAGGGUCCGUAGGCGGGCUGAUAAGUCAGAGGUGAAAGCGCUUAGCUCAACUAAGCAACUGCCUUUGAAACUGUCAGUCUUGAAUGAUUGUGAAGUAGUUGGAAUGUGUAGUGUAGCGGUGAAAUGCUUAGAUAUUACACAGAACACCGAUAGCGAAGGCAUAUUACUAACAAUUUAUUGACGCUGAUGGACGAAAGCGUGGGGAGCGAACAGGAUUAGAUACCCUGGUAGUCCACGCUGUAAACGAUGGAUACUAGCUGUUUGGAGCAAUCUGAGUGGCUAAGCGAAAGUGAUAAGUAUCCCACCUGGGGAGUACGCACGCAAGUGUGAAACUCAAAGGAAUUGACGGGGGCCCGCACAAG